AAAUUAUACAAUAAAAGGACCCCAUAUGGUGGAUUCAGGUAUCUUUGAAUCUGUGGAACAACAGCUUAUGAUCUGUAACAACAGAUGAAGUCAUGAACACACAUAGAAGAAGAGACACUCCUCAGGGGCACCACAACUUUGCAGGGGAAAGACGUAGCGUGCCUAAUAGGAAAGCAGAUGCAGUAAAUCAUCCAUUCCCAAACAAGCCUGUGAGCCAUAGAAGACCUAGCAGGCCACAAGUUUCACUAGAUUUGGAUGAUUUUGAAAACAUCACAGUUUCUACUCAACCAGUAGCCCCUUUGUUACCCCAGGAGCAUCAUUCACAUGGCAUCACAGAGACCACCGUAGCCUCACUGUCAGACAGACUGCCCAGUGAAGAGCUGCAGUUGACCAAAGCAAUCCAUGCAAAACAGCUCAUGCUGCAGGAGAAGCUCUUGAAAGUUGAAUUAAAAAUAAGACAAAAGCUCCAGAGGGCCAGCGCUGACUAUGCUGGAGGUAAUGAGAAAACAAGUAGGGAGGAGGGACACAGCAGAGGACGAGCUCAGGUGCAAAAAACUCAAACAAAUACCAGAAUGUCUGAGCUCCAGUUUAGAGAGCUAGCUCAAGGCAGAGAUAAAGUGAUGGAGGAUAGAAGGUAUGAUGAUUUUAAGCAAGUUAGGCACAAACAAGAUCAGAGGACUGAGGACAGAAUGAGGACUACGAAGGAAGAACACCAGGACGAUUCAGAAACUAUUCAGCCUAACAGAAAAGGAAAUAAAGGCACUUAUAAGGUCAUAUCUAGCAAACAAGAAGUGAAUGGAGAACUGAACAAAUCAAGAUGGCAUAAUGUGAAAGAGCAUACCAGAGGAAAACGAGGAGGUGGGACAGAUUAUGGUACUGGUGGAGAAAUAGAAAAAAUAAAGUACAGUGAUGUGCCUCAGGAGAGUCUGCAGAAAACUCCUUAUACAGGAAACCACAGAGGGGCAGGAGGAAAUCAGCUCUGGGAUUCAACUCUUCCAUCUAGACCUUCACAAUGGAGUGGACCACACCGGGGAGAGCUCGUGCUCAAGGAGAGCACAGAAGUCAGCCUCCAGCUUUUUCCUUGCAAAAUCUGCAACAGAAAGUUUGUGAGUGAAAGAUUAGAGAAGCACGUCCAAAUAUGUGAGAAGGCGAAUUUUUCACACCGGCAAGUCUUCAACUCGUACGCUAACAGGACCAAAGGAUCCCAGAUAGAGCAGUUCCUGAAAACACACCAGAAACAAGAGUCCAGAGGUUUUAAAUGA
RNAcentral lists this long non-coding RNA (1262 nucleotides) under Oreochromis niloticus (Nile tilapia). RNAcentral's name for it is "lncRNA (ENSONIG00000038342.1)". Lineage: Eukaryota; Metazoa; Chordata; Actinopteri; Cichliformes; Cichlidae. The record is from RNAcentral.